Long non-coding RNA from Rosa chinensis, 568 nucleotides. RefSeq lists it as uncharacterized. The transcript has 2 exons. The record is from RefSeq and is a predicted model, not a curated record. NCBI's taxonomy places the organism in Eukaryota, Viridiplantae, Streptophyta, Magnoliopsida, Rosales, Rosaceae.
AAUUUAACAUUACCUCCGUUAACCUAUUUUUUUUAAUUCUUGUCUUUGCUCUUGCAAGAGACCAGAUCAUGUCAAUAUCGAACCCAGACCUAUUCAUAUGACUUGAAAUCUAUACCAGAUCAUUGACAACGCCAUACAAAUUGACCCGUAUGAAGUCCGAGUUUCCGACCUCUAAAGCAAGUAUGCAUAAUAUCUGGUCUCUCUCUUUUUUCACCUUCUGCUCAUAGUAGAAGAAUGAGGGAAUUUUUAGAUUUAGAGAGAAGAAGAAGAAGAAGAAGAAGGAGCAGCAGCAGCAGCUUGGAAUGAUCGAGGAUCUGAUUCCAAUUCUAAUAUUACGCAGUAAUUGCGGCAUUAAAAUGACUAGAUCAACCAGCGAGCUGAGCUGAGCCGCGCCGCCGGCCAUAACUUAUACUCAACGGCCGUGGAGGUGGAGAUCUUUUCUCAAUCAAUCAGAAAUAAAAAGCAAAGCAGCCCUCUUUCUUCUUCUUCUUUUGUUGGAGUCGGGCCCUAUCAGUUUUUCCUUUUGGACUUUGCUUUAUAUCAAAAGAAUACUUAAGUUUCUUUCUGA